UACAGAGGUCUCAAGCGUUGUUCGGAUUCAUUGGGCGUAAAGGGUGCGUAGGCGGUGCGGUAAGUCGGGUGUGAAAUCUUGGAGCUUAACUCCGAAACUGCAUUCGAUACUGCCGUGCUUGAGGACUGGAGAGGAGACUGGAAUUUACGGUGUAGCGGUGAAAUGCGUAGAUAUCGUAAGGAAGACCAGUGGCGAAGGCGGGUCUCUGGACAGUUCCUGACGCUGAGGCACGAAGGUCAGGGGAGCAAACGGG
RNAcentral lists this ribosomal RNA (253 nucleotides) under uncultured bacterium. Its description in RNAcentral is "partial 16S ribosomal RNA". It matches the Rfam family "Bacterial small subunit ribosomal RNA", at positions 524 to 776 of the family's 1533-position model. The record is from RNAcentral.